AUCCGAGUAGACGAUUCCUUUGCACAUCGACCGAUGAGACAAGCUCGACAUCGAUCAACAGCACUUAAGAUCCAACGAUCGAUUGUCUCUUCAUUGUGUCGAAUGACUAUUCUAGCUAUCGAUCGAUGAGACCAUGUCGCUAUCAUUCGACAGCACUUCAUCAACAACGAUCGAUUGUCACUUCAUUGUGUCGAUCGACACUGAGCAGGUCAUCGUUCUUACUUGUUAAAUUAUGUAUUUAUGAUUAUUUCUCACCAUCACUCCGACAAGAUAUACACUGGGGACAGUGUAAUUUAAGUCUGGGGGGAUGUUUACUGAUAUUAGUGUGUUCAUGAGUCUUAUCAAAAUGUUUUCAAAAGAGUUUUAUUGAGUCAAGAAUGGGAUAAUGAACUUAUUAGAUUUUUGCUUGUUAUCUAACCACCCAUUAGCACUAUUCUAGACUUACUGAUUGCAGAUAGUACUAAAGAUAUAAAUUGGAUCAACCUGUCAAGUAUUCACGCUUACUGAAAUUGUUUGAAAGAGCCAAAGCGGACCUCCAACACUAAAUCUAGCUAUUCUCCCAACUGUUAACAACCUCAAAACAAACCAAUCGAGCAAUAAACUUUCUUAGCAAUCCAUUUACUGCUUUAAAACUUAUAAACCAAUUAAUCUAGAUUUAUUUCAAGACCAUAAUCUACUAUGUAAUCCUAGAGUCUCUGUAGUUUUGAUCCCUAAGUACUACAUUCGAACCUCUUAUUUGAGAGAGUAAUUCACUCCUUGGCAAUUUGAGUGAUAUCAACUUGGGCUCUACGUCGGCUGAGACCAAACGAGCUUUCGCGCUUCACUGUCGAUCGAUGUCAAGAUGUGAACGUCGAUCGAUUAUUCCUCUUCAAUGUUGACCGAUGGUCGAGCUCGAUGGUCAUCUCGGGUGCUUACUCCAAAUAUCUCCAAAAUGCUCCAAAAUCACCACUUUCCUCCAAAUCACUCAUGAUCCUAUAAAUAUGCUAAAUAGACUCUAGAAUAUAAUAAAUAGUUAUUAAAACACUUAUAAACCAUGGGUAAAAGUGGGUCAAAUCCAUGGUAAAAGAGGUUUGAAAACAGCAGGGACUCACAUAAUCUUAAACAUAGAAUCAACACCUUAGAUAGUCUUAGUCUCAGAAGCACACUAAAUCAUAUCCUAGUCUACCAACCAAGUUCAUCUAGUCAACAACUUAGCAAAUCAUGUCUGAUAAUCCCAUCUACCAACCUCAAUUCUUACAUAAAUAAAGUGUAGGCUUUACCUUGGGGUAUCGAUCACAUGAUACAAAGAUGCUCAAACAAGUAUUUGGACCUGC
This 1313-nucleotide long non-coding RNA is filed under the name Brassica napus (rape). Its description in RNAcentral is "long non-coding RNA (BNAP_LNC004553)". Lineage: Eukaryota; Viridiplantae; Streptophyta; Magnoliopsida; Brassicales; Brassicaceae. The record is from RNAcentral.